Molecule: unclassified non-coding RNA, 374 nt
Filed under: uncultured fungus
Lineage: Eukaryota; Fungi
Description: partial contains ITS1, 5.8S rRNA and ITS2
Source: RNAcentral
AACGCACAUUGCGCUCCUUGGUAUCCCGAGGAGCAUGCCUGUUUGAGAACCGAAACGUCCUUCACACCCAAGAUUUUUUGUGCAAACGAAUGAUCUCGGGAGUGGAUCUGAGCGUUCUGACUGGCCUCGGUCGAUCAGUCGCUUGAAAAUCAGCAAUCGAAAGGUGUCUCUGCCUAGCUACGAGUGCGAUAAGACGUGCCAAUGUGGGUUUCACGACCCCUUCAACGUCGAAAACGCGUAAAAAACUCGCAGCGACGGCUUUGACGCGUAAGCCUUGCGAUUCAAAUGACGCCAGGCAUUGGUCUUCCUUCGCGGAAGCCGAUGUAUACCUGAACUAUGGUCUCAAAUCAAGCAAGAAGACCCGCUGAACUUAA